This is a long non-coding RNA of Daphnia pulex (common water flea), 2610 nucleotides long. RefSeq lists it as uncharacterized. The transcript has 3 exons. The record is from RefSeq and is a predicted model, not a curated record. NCBI's taxonomy places the organism in Eukaryota, Metazoa, Arthropoda, Branchiopoda, Diplostraca, Daphniidae.
GCUGUUUAGUAACACCUUAACUCUGACUUGACAGUUCUGAUUUACAAUGGACGUGUUUUUGUAUCUCCUCGAAUACUUCAUACAAGUUUAAACACUAUCAGCACUUUGUUAAUUCUCUAACUUCAACAAACUCUACCCUCUUCCUGUCCAUAUGUAACUUUACCUGUAUGACCAAUGGGAAUGAGUCGCACAUCUGCAUGGCUUUUCAUUUCAUCAUAGAGUACAUUUAAUUGUAUUUUUGCCAUGGCAUUUUUAAGGCAGUAUCAUCUUCUUCAUUUUUAAAUUGAAAAUGGUAUUGCUUUUUUACACGGGGUUCAACACGGGACAGAAUAUGGUUAAUCUGAGAUGAACUCAAUGUUUUCUCCAAAUAUACUGUUUCUGGUUUUGUUAAGGUUUCAUCAUAUGAUUGUUCUUGUUCAUCUUCCUCUUCUUCUGGUAUCUCUGGUACUACAUUGGGUGUAUUAUUUUUCAUUGAUAUAUUAUUUUUAUAUACGACUUCGUUAUUGGGUACUUCGUUUGAAGGUACUCCGUUAUUAGGUACUUCGUUUAAAGGUGUAUCUACAUCAUCUUCAUAUACAACCUCUUCUUCCAUCAUAUCUUUAUUUGACAUCCUAUUCUAUGUGUACAUUUUGUAUAUAGAAUAGUAUACACUCUUAGUAAUGUUUCGUAGAUCAGUUCCACCUGUUCAAAGUCCAUCCAAUGGAAAAUGGGGUCCUGCCUUAUGGAAAAUCCUUCACAGUGCAUGUGAACAAAUUUGAUCACAACAACUUAAAAACUUCCACAGGAAGAAUCACGAAUUUGGAUCGGACUACUUCAAAGUCUACGAUAUUCUCUUCCCUGUCCACAAUGUAAAAAACAUUAUACCGCUUAUUGGAAUGCUCAUCUGAUCCGAUCAGUAACAAAAGAAAACAUUCGUACAUGGUUGUUUCAACUUCACAAUGAAGUCAAUCAACGACUAGGAAAAGAAUCAUUUCCUAUUGAAAAAUAUACAGAAUACGAACCAAUCUUUCACUUUAAAGAAUAUUUUACAUUAGUACAACAACAUAUGACAUUAGCCAUACGACAAGGUACAUGCUCCCAUAUCGAUCUUCAACGAACCAUCCGAUUCCUUAUUGAAAUGAAGUGUUUUUAUGAUUUUUUUUGAAUGUGUUAUACACAUAGAUGGUUAUUAUCGGAUCACACGAUUUCUGUGCAUGUGUUGCUAAAGAUGAAUGCAUGUGCAUCUGUUGGCUAUGGGCCCAAACCCAAGAUAUUUCCUUGAAAGAUCAAUUUGCAUUAGGUGUUCGUCUAUUUGAUCUCCGUUAUCGUAUGGAUAAUAAUACAUACUAUUUGAGUCAUACGUUCAGCACAAAUUAUAGAGUUGAACAUGCCAUUACUGAACUCAUCAAAUGUGCAGUAGAAGCCAAUGAAUACAUUUACAUUCGGUUGAAACGCGACAGUUCUUCUCCUGCACUUCCCUCCUUUGGAUCUUUUUUUACAUCUAUUCUUCUCCAUGACAUUCCUGUUACAACAUUUAUGAUAGAAUAUGAUGGAUCCACCUUAUGGCAAUAUAUUACUGGAAAACCAGAUCGUCAAUAUAUUGUUCCGUAUUCCGAUAAUGAUACAUUACGUGAUCAUCAUGUUCCAUCACAAUGGGUAUUUCCUCAAUUAUUUGAUACAGUAGAAACAUGGGAAUGUAGUAGCAUUGACAGUGCUGCUCAACGUAUUCAAUUAAAGCCGUUCCAUAACAAUGGACUACCAAAGGCCAUUUUUAUUGAUUUUAGUGGCGUCUAUCCUCCAUAAAUGAUAUUUGAUUAUUUAUGGGAAGAGAUUGAAAAUGACAUCAUGAUGUGUAUUCAUAAUAAUGUCAUUCGGUGUAUCAUGGUAAAUCAUACUAAUGCAAAUACGAUUAAAUUGCUACGUGGUUCUUAAGGCAUAGGGUACAUGUUGUGCUAAAAGCACAACACUAGCUAUACCUUAUGGCAUAUGUACACAAGCAACAGGUACAUUCUUUGUAGCAUCUUUACCUAAUAAUCGAUUUGCAAUACCAAACAAAUCCGAUAAACGAUUCUCACACACUAAACUAAGUAGAUAAUACCAUGCUCCACCACCUACUAAAAAGAUACUCGAUACAAUAAAUCCAAUAACCAUUGUAAAGGCCGUUGCAGUGAAUCAUUCACAAUUUGAAGUUAAUUGAAACAUAAUAACACAUAUUAAUACUAAUACGAUUGCAAGAAGUGACAUAAAUGCCUGUGUUUUACGUGCAGACACCUUACCUGAUGUAGAAUCGUCCAUUGGACCAUCUACAUUCGGAUAAAUGUACAACAAUUGAAAUGCAUUGAAUCCCAUGUAUCCAAAGAAAAACAGAACCAUUGUAAGCAAUUCCGAAACAACACGCACUUCUUUUGUUGCAGGAGCAUUUGCCAUUGUUCGAAAUGGACUUGAUAAACGACACAUAUCAGUAGAUAAUACGCUAAAUGGAUUAUUUGGUACUAAUGCUGUAACUGUAUUGAUCACCCAUUCAACAAAUGGUGCUGCAAAUAAGAAUCCAAGAAGAAAAAAUAACAUAGCAUAAUUUGAAGUAAAUAACCCAAUAAUAAGCAUUGAUCCACCAAUGGUUAGUGGUAAUGU